Molecule: ribosomal RNA, 253 nt
Filed under: uncultured bacterium
Lineage: Bacteria
Description: partial 16S ribosomal RNA
Rfam family: Bacterial small subunit ribosomal RNA
Source: RNAcentral
UACAGAGGUGGCAAGCGUUGUUCGGAAUUACUGGGCGUAAAGGGCGCGUAGGCGGCCAACUAAGUCAGACGUGAAAUCCCCAGGCUCAACCUGGGAACUGCGUCUGAUACUGGAUGGCUUGAAUUCGGGAGAGGGAUGCAGAAUUCCAGGUGUAGCGGUGAAAUGCGUAGAUAUCUGGAGGAAUACCGGUGGCGAAGGCGGCAUCCUGGACCGACAUUGACGCUGAUGAGCGAAAGCUAGGGGAGCAAACGGG